UGAGGAGAGAGAAAUGUGAGGUGCUUUAACUUCUCUCUAAGUUCCUCAUUCCUCCUCCUUCUCUCUAGAUUUUUAUAGUUCUAAUCUUCUUCUUUCUUGCUCAUUUUUGGAUAUGUGGUAGAGGAGCAAAGGCUCUACAAUGCAUUUUUCAUUUUGAGCACUUGGAUGCAAAGACAUGACAUCCAUCAUUUGCGCCAACCUCACAAUCCUAAUGUUGCACCCUUCCUCUAGUUCCCUAAACACAUUUUUCACUUUCUUCGACUUCCUCCGGUCCUUGCACUCUACCCCCUCACUGUCGCAAACGUCGCCACUACAAAUGCCUUUAUCGUGAAUGUCAUCACUGCCAAAGGUGAAAACUUGAUCUUUUAGCUUCUCUGGGCCUUUUACAGCCCCUACCUAUGCCUAACAGGGUAUGGGAUGCUAUUGGUAUGGACUUUAUAAAAGGUUUACCACACUCCCAUGGUAAGCAAGCUAUAUUUGUGGUGGUUGAUAGACUGAGUAAGUAUGCACAUUUCAUUGCAUUAGCACAUCCUUACAUGGCUUUGUAUAUAGCUCAGUUAUUUUUAGAUAACAUUUUCAAGUAACAUGGCUGGCCAAUCACCAUUACUUGUGACAAAGACCCCAUUUCCCUUAAUAGGAUUUGGAGUGAAUUAUUUCAGCUACAGAGUACUUCAGUUAACAAAUCCACAUCUUACCAUCCACAAACAUCCACAAACUGAUGGUCAAAAUGAAGUGGCGAACAAGUGUUUGGAAACUUACCUUCACUGCAUGUGUUUUAGGAAGCCCACUAGAUGGUCUAAAUGGUUAUCCCUGGCUAAAUGGUGGUACAACACCAACUUCCAUUCUUCUAUUCAGACCACACCAUAUGAAGUUGUCUACGACCAAGCUCCUCCGAUCCAAUUACCCUUCAUGCCUGGGGAAGUUGCUAACCCAACUGUUGACAGGACUCUGAGUAAAAGGGAACAAGUGAUUCAGCUGCUGAAAUUUCACCUUACCCGAGCCCAAAAUUGAAUGGCCCAGCAGGCUGACAAGCACUGAUUUGAUAGUGUUUGUCAUUGGGGACUUUUUCUAUUUAAAGCUACAACCUUAUAGACAAUUCACCAUGCGACACUCCUCAUUUCAUAAGCUGCUACCUAAGUACUAUGCUCCCUUUCAAGUGCUGGAAAGAAUUGGCUCUAUGGUGUAUCAGUUGCAACUACUUCCCAAUGUUGAAGUCCAUUAUGUAUUCCACAUUUCUCAGUUGAAGCUCUGAACAAAUCCUCAUGUUACCACAAUCCAUCCUCUUCCUGCUAAUUCCACUAUGUCGUUCAAGAAAGAAAAGCCUGAAGCUAUUUUGGAUAGAAAGAUGGAGCAUUAAAGUACUCAUCAAAUGUAAAGGUCUUCUUAUAGAGCAUGCCAAUUGGGAGUUCUACUAUGAUUUGCUCAAGAAAUUUCCCUCUUUCCGUCGUUCAGGACAAGGAUGUACUCGAAGGGGAGGGUAUUGUUACAACAUUUAGGAAGCAUAAAUAAUUUCUGUUGUAACUUUCUUUUACUUUACUAUUUUUACCCUUUUGCUUUUUUUUUCCUUUUGCUUAAAAUUUAUUGUGCAGUGUUGGCACUAAUUGGUAGGCAAUGGUUUUGUUACCGCACCCUUCCUAUAGGUUUUGUAACUAAUCGAGUAUGUAGCAUAGUUGUGCAAAGGAAUGAGUAACAAAAAUAUUCCACCAA
This is a long non-coding RNA of Glycine soja, 1707 nucleotides long. RefSeq lists it as uncharacterized. The transcript is spliced from 2 exons. The record is from RefSeq and is a predicted model, not a curated record. NCBI's taxonomy places the organism in Eukaryota, Viridiplantae, Streptophyta, Magnoliopsida, Fabales, Fabaceae.